AAUCGUGGGGGCGCAACGGGUGCCCGAGAGGGCUUAAUCGGGAAGUCCGGAAAGGUCGCCAGGAGGCGAUCUGGGCCGGCACUGCUCCCGCAACUGUGACCGGGGAGCGCAUCGCCACAUGCCAUUGGGAGGGAUCUCCCGAGAAGGCGGCGAAGACGCGCUGUGAACCGGGAAGUCAGGAAACCGGCCCGAUGCCGUCGUUUUUU
Molecule: non-coding RNA, 206 nt
Filed under: Novosphingobium sp.
Lineage: Bacteria; Pseudomonadati; Pseudomonadota; Alphaproteobacteria; Sphingomonadales; Sphingomonadaceae
Source: RNAcentral